GAUGAACGCCGGCGGCGUGCCUAAUACAUGCAAGUCGGGCGAACAGACGAGGAGCUUGCUCCUCUGAUGUUAGCGGCGGACGGGUGAGUAACACGUGGAUAACCUACCUAUAAGACUGGGAUAACUUCGGGAAACCGGAGCUAAUACCGGAUAACAUGUUGAACCGCAUGGUUCAACAGUGAAAGACGGUCUUGCUGUCACUUAUAGAUGGAUCCGCGCCGCAUUAGCUAGUUGGUAAGGUAACGGCUUACCAAGGCAACGAUGCGUAGCCGACCUGAGAGGGGGAUCGGCCACACUGGAACUGAGACACGGUCCAGACUCCUACGGGAGGCAGCAGUAGGGAAUCUUCCGCAAUGGGCGAAAGCCUGACGGAGCAACGCCGCGUGAGUGAAGAAGGUCUUCGGAUCGUAAAACUCUGUUAUUAGGGAAGAACAAAUGUGUAAGUAACUAUGCACGUCUUGACGGUACCUAAUCAGAAAGCCACGGCUAACUACGUG
This 497-nucleotide ribosomal RNA is filed under the name uncultured bacterium. Its description in RNAcentral is "partial 16S ribosomal RNA". It matches the Rfam family "Bacterial small subunit ribosomal RNA", at positions 28 to 507 of the family's 1533-position model. The record is from RNAcentral.